UUAAGCGACUAAGCGUACACGGUGGAUGCCCUGGCAGUCAGAGGCGAUGAAGGACGUGCUAAUCUGCGAUAAGCGUCGGUAAGGUGAUAUGAACCGUUAUAACCGGCGAUUUCCGAAUGGGGAAACCCAGUGUGNCACACUAUCAUUAACUGAAUCCAUAGGUUAAUGAGGCGAACCGGGGGAACUGAAACAUCUAAGUACCCCGAGGAAAAGAAAUCAACCGAGAUUCCCCCAGUAGCGGCGAGCGAACGGGGAGCAGCCCAGAGCCUGAAUCAGUGUGUGUGUUAGUGGAAGCGUCUGGAAAGGCGCGCGAUACAGGGUGACAGCCCCGUACACAAAAAUGCACAUAUUGUGAGCUCGAUGAGUAGGGCGGGACACGUGGUAUCCUGUCUGAAUAUGGGGGGACCAUCCUCCAAGGCUAAAUACUCCUGACUGACCGAUAGUGAACCAGUACCGUGAGGGAAAGGCGAAAAGAACCCCGGCGAGGGGAGUGAAAAAGAACCUGAAACCGUGUACGUACAAGCAGUGGGAGCACGCUUAGGCGUGUGACUGCGUACCUUUUGUAUAAUGGGUCAGCGACUUAUAUUCUGUAGCAAGGUUAACCGAAUAGGGGAGCCGAAGGGAAACCGAGUCUUAACUGGGCGUUAAGUUGCAGGGUAUAGACCCGAAACCCGGUGAUCUAGCCAUGGGCAGGUUGAAGGUUGGGUAACACUAACUGGAGGACCGAACCGACUAAUGUUGAAAAAUUAGCGGAUGACUUGUGGCUGGGGGUGAAAGGCCAAUCAAACCGGGAGAUAGCUGGUUCUCCCCGAAAGCUAUUUAGGUAGCGCCUCGUGAAUUCAUCUCCGGGGGUAGAGCACUGUUUCGGCAAGGGGGUCAUCCCGACUUACCAACCCGAUGCAAACUGCGAAUACCGGAGAAUGUUAUCACGGGAGACACACGGCGGGUGCUAACGUCCGUCGUGAAGAGGGAAACAACCCAGACCGCCAGCUAAGGUCCCAAAGUCAUGGUUAAGUGGGAAACGAUGUGGGAAGGCCCAGACAGCCAGGAUGUUGGCUUAGAAGCAGCCAUCAUUUAAAGAAAGCGUAAUAGCUCACUGGUCGAGUCGGCCUGCGCGGAAGAUGUAACGGGGCUAAACCAUGCACCGAAGCUGCGGCAGCGACGCUGAUGCGUUGUUGGGUAGGGGAGCGUUCUGUAAGCCUGCGAAGGUGUGCUGUGAGGCAUGCUGGAGGUAUCAGAAGUGCGAAUGCUGACAUAAGUAACGAUAAAGCGGGUGAAAAGCCCGCUCGCCGGAAGACCAAGGGUUCCUGUCCAACGUUAAUCGGGGCAGGGUGAGUCGACCCCUAAGGCGAGGCCGAAAGGCGUAGUCGAUGGGAAACAGGUUAAUAUUCCUGUACUUGGUGUUACUGCGAAGGGGGGACGGAGAAGGCUAUGUUGGCCGGGCGACGGUUGUCCCGGUUUAAGCGUGUAGGCUGGUUUUCCAGGCAAAUCCGGAAAAUCAAGGCUGAGGCGUGAUGACGAGGCACUACGGUGCUGAAGCAACAAAUGCCCUGCUUCCAGGAAAAGCCUCUAAGCAUCAGGUAACAUCAAAUCGUACCCCAAACCGACACAGGUGGUCAGGUAGAGAAUACCAAGGCGCUUGAGAGAACUCGGGUGAAGGAACUAGGCAAAAUGGUGCCGUAACUUCGGGAGAAGGCACGCUGAUAUGUAGGUGAAGUCCCUCGCGGAUGGAGCUGAAAUCAGUCGAAGAUACCAGCUGGCUGCAACUGUUUAUUAAAAACACAGCACUGUGCAAACACGAAAGUGGACGUAUACGGUGUGACGCCUGCCCGGUGCCGGAAGGUUAAUUGAUGGGGUCAGCGCAAGCGAAGCUCUUGAUCGAAGCCCCGGUAAACGGCGGCCGUAACUAUAACGGUCCUAAGGUAGCGAAAUUCCUUGUCGGGUAAGUUCCGACCUGCACGAAUGGCGUAAUGAUGGCCAGGCUGUCUCCACCCGAGACUCAGUGAAAUUGAACUCGCUGUGAAGAUGCAGUGUACCCGCGGCAAGACGGAAAGACCCCGUGAACCUUUACUAUAGCUUGACACUGAACAUUGAGCCUUGAUGUGUAGGAUAGGUGGGAGGCUUNGGGUUGCGGACAGUGUCUGGUGGGUAGUUUGACUGGGGCGGUCUCCUCCUAAAGAGUAACGGAGGAGCACGAAGGUUGGCUAAUCCUGGUCGGACAUCAGGAGGUUAGUGCAAUGGCAUAAGCCAGCUUGACUGCGAGCGUGACGGCGCGAGCAGGUGCGAAAGCAGGUCAUAGUGAUCCGGUGGUUCUGAAUGGAAGGGCCAUCGCUCAACGGAUAAAAGGUACUCCGGGGAUAACAGGCUGAUACCGCCCAAGAGUUCAUAUCGACGGCGGUGUUUGGCACCUCGAUGUCGGCUCAUCACAUCCUGGGGCUGAAGUAGGUCCCAAGGGUAUGGCUGUUCGCCAUUUAAAGUGGUACGCGAGCUGGGUUUAGAACGUCGUGAGACAGUUCGGUCCCUAUCUGCCGUGGGCGCUGGAGAACUGAGGGGGGCUGCUCCUAGUACGAGAGGACCGGAGUGGACGCAUCACUGGUGUUCGGGUUGUCAUGCCAAUGGCACUGCCCGGUAGCUAAAUGCGGAAGAGAUAAGUGCUGAAAGCAUCUAAGCACGAAACUUGCCCCGAGAUGAGUUCUCCCUGACNGUCCUGAAGGAACGUUGAAGACGACGACGUUGAUAGGCCGGGUGUGUAAGCGCAGCGAUGCGUUGAGCUAACCGGUACUAAUGAACCGUGAGGCUUAACCUU
RNAcentral lists this ribosomal RNA (2806 nucleotides) under Escherichia coli. Its description in RNAcentral is "bacterial LSU rRNA". It matches the Rfam family "Bacterial large subunit ribosomal RNA". The record is from RNAcentral. Lineage: Bacteria; Pseudomonadati; Pseudomonadota; Gammaproteobacteria; Enterobacterales; Enterobacteriaceae.